This 413-nucleotide ribosomal RNA is filed under the name uncultured prokaryote. RNAcentral describes it as "bacterial SSU rRNA". It matches the Rfam family "Bacterial small subunit ribosomal RNA", at positions 505 to 918 of the family's 1533-position model. The record is from RNAcentral.
GUGCCAGCAGCCGCGGUAAUACGUAGGGGGCGAGCGUUACCCGGAAUUACUGGGCGUAAAGGGGGCGUAGGCGGCCCGGCAAGUCAAGUGUGAAAUCCGGCGGCUCAACCGCUGGGCUGCGCUUGAAACUGCCGGGCUUGAGUGCAGCAGAGGGAGACGGAAUUGCCGGUGUAGGGGUGAAAUCCGUAGAUAUCGGCAAGAACGCCGGUGGGGAAGCCGGUCUCCUGGGCUGUUACUGACGCUGAGGCCCGAAAGCUGGGGGAGCGAACCGGAUUAGAUACCCGGGUAGUCCCAGCCGUAAACGAUGCUCACUAGGUGUGGGGGAGAUAAAUCCUCCGUGCUGAAGCUAACGCGCUAAGUGAGCCGCCUGGGGAGUAUGCCCGCAAGGGUGAAACUUAAAUGAAUUGACGGGG